This 332-nucleotide ribosomal RNA is filed under the name uncultured eukaryote. RNAcentral describes it as "partial 18S ribosomal RNA". It matches the Rfam family "Eukaryotic small subunit ribosomal RNA", at positions 1470 to 1796 of the family's 1831-position model. The record is from RNAcentral.
CCCUUAGAUGUUCUGGGCUGCACACGUGCUACACUGGCAGGUUCAGCGAGCUUCAUGCCCUGAUCUGAAAGGAAUGGGAAAUCUUUUCAAAACCUGCCGUGCUUGGGAUAGAUGUUUGCAAUUAUUCAUCUUCAACGAGGAUUGCCUUGUAAGCGCACGUCAUCAGCGUGCAUUGAAUACGACCCUGUAUUCUGUACACACCGCCCGUCGCUCCUACCGAUUGAAGUUUUCGGUGAGUUGAUAGGAGGAUUUUUUUGAAACUGGUUCGCCAGUGGAUUUUAGAUCCAAAUGCCAACGAAUCGAUGGCUUUAGAGGAAGGAGAAGUCGUAACA